Amphiprion ocellaris (clown anemonefish) is the source of this 407-nucleotide long non-coding RNA. NCBI's taxonomy places the organism in Eukaryota, Metazoa, Chordata, Actinopteri, Pomacentridae. The record is from Ensembl.
UGUAUUCUCCGUAAGGCCCUGUUUUGCAGAUGUGACCGGCUGAUUAGCCAUCACGCCAUACAGCUGUGGGGGAACUAAUGAUUGGUUUGGCCGUUGCAGCAGGGGGUUCAAAUUGAUUGACGGACGUAGCUCCACUAUACUCCUGAACACUCCUGGACAGUGUUCUGUGGCUGCAGUGCAGAGUCUGCUGACGGUGUCUCUGCUUAUCGGCGGCGUCAGGGUCGGACAUCCGAGGGGAAACCCUCUGUUGAGAGGCAGGAUUGUUAACAUUCUUAGGGUGAAAGUCCCUAGGUGGUGUUGUCGGUUCCAUGUUGAAAGAAACCAGAAGACCUUCACCAGUCCUAACUUGGUUACACAUACAUUCAAUUUCCUACACUCAGCAGAACAGAUUUCUGUUUAAGUAGCAC